Molecule: ribosomal RNA, 1433 nt
Filed under: Virgibacillus sp. PL31
Lineage: Bacteria; Bacillati; Bacillota; Bacilli; Caryophanales; Bacillaceae
Description: 16S ribosomal RNA
Rfam family: Bacterial small subunit ribosomal RNA
Source: RNAcentral
AUACAUGCAAGUCGAGCGCGGGAAGCAAGCUGAUCCUCUUCGGAGGUGACGCUUGUGGAACGAGCGGCGGACGGGUGAGUAACACGUGGGCAACCUGCCUGUAAGACUGGGAUAACCCCGGGAAACCGGGGCUAAUACCGGAUAAUACUUUUCAACACCUGGUGAGAAGUUGAAAGGUGGCUUUUAGCUACCACUUACAGAGGGGCCCGCGGCGCAUAGCUAAUUUGAGAGGAGCGGCUCACCAAGGCAACGAUGCGUAGCCGACCUGAGAGGGUGAUCGGCCACUAUGGGACUUAAACACGGCACAGACUCCUCCCCUACGCACCAGUAAGGAAUCUUCCGCAAUGGACGAAAGUCUGACGGAGCAACGCCGCGUGAGUGAAGAAGUUGUUCGGAUUGCGAGCUCUGUUGUACAGCUCUACCAUGGCUUCGAAUAGGGCGGCACCUUGACGGUACCUAACCAGAAAGCCCCGGCUAACUACGUGCCAGCAGCCGCGGUAAUACGUAGGGGGCAAGCGUUGUCCGGAAUUAUUGGGCGUAAAGCGCGCGCAGGCGGUCCUUUAAGUCUGAUGUGAAAGCCCACGGCUCAACCGUGGAGGGUCAUUGGAAACUGGAGGACUUGAGUACAGAAGAGGAGAGUGGAAUUCCACGUGUAGCGGUGAAAUGCGUAGAGAUGUGGAGGAACACCAGUGGCGAAGGCGACUCUCUGGUCUGUAACUGACGCUGAGGCGCGAAAGCGUGGGGAGCGAACAGGAUUAGAUACCCUGGUAGUCCACGCCGUAAACGAUGAGUGCUAGGUGUUAGGGGGUUUCCGCCCCUUAGUGCUGAAGUUAACGCAUUAAGCACUCCGCCUGGGGAGUACGGCCGCAAGGCUGAAACUCAAAAGAAUUGACGGGGGCCCGCACAAGCGGUGGAGCAUGUGGUUUAAUUCGACGCAACGCGAAGAACCUUACCAGGUCUUGACAUCCUCUGCAAUCGGUAGAGAUACCGAGUUCCCUUCGGGGACAGAGUGACAGGUGGUGCAUGGUUGUCGUCAGCUCGUGUCGUGAGAUGUUGGGUUAAGUCCCGCAACGAGCGCAACCCUUGAUCUUAGUUGCCAGCAUUUAGUUGGGCACUCUAAGGUGACUGCCGGUGACAAACCGGAGGAAGGUGGGGAUGACGUCAAAUCAUCAUGCCCCUUAUGACCUGGGCUACACACGUGCUACAAUGGAUGGAACAAAGGGAAGCAAAACCGCGAGGUCAAGCAAAUCCCAUAAAACCAUUCUCAGUUCGGAUUGCAGGCUGCAACUCGCCUGCAUGAAGCCGGAAUCGCUAGUAAUCGCGGAUCAGCAUGCCGCGGUGAAUACGUUCCCGGGCCUUGUACACACCGCCCGUCACACCACGAGAGUUGGUAACACCCGAAGUCGGUGAGGUAACCUUUGGAGCCAGCCGCC